GAUGAACGCUGGCGGCGUGCCUAAUACAUGCAAGUCGAGCGAACGGACGAGAAGCUUGCUUCUCUGAUGUUAGCGGCGGACGGGUGAGUAACACGUGGAUAACCUACCUAUAAGACUGGGAUAACUUCGGGAAACCGGAGCUAAUACCGGAUAAUAUUUUGAACCGCAUGGUUCAAAAGUGAAAGACGGUCUUGCUGUCACUUAUAGAUGGAUCCGCGCUGCAUUAGCUAGUUGGUAGGGUAACGGCUUACCAAGGCAACGAUGCAUAGCCGACCUGAGAGGGUGAUCGGCCACACUGGAACUGAGACACGGUCCAGACUCCUACGGGAGGCAGCAGUAGGGAAUCUUCCGCAAUGGGCGAAAGCCUGACGGAGCAACGCCGCGUGAGUGAUGAAGGUCUUCGGAUCGUAAAACUCUGUUAUUAGGGAAGAACAUAUGUGUAAGUAACUGUGCACAUCUUGACGGUACCUAAUCAGAAAGCCACGGCUAACUACGUGCCAGCAGCCGCGGUAAUACGUAGGUGGCAAGCGUUAUCCGGAAUUAUUGGGCGUAAAGCGCGCGUAGGCGGUUUUUUAAGUCUGAUGUGAAAGCCCACGGCUCAACCGUGGAGGGUCAUUGGAAACUGGAAAACUUGAGUGCAGAAGAGGAAAGUGGAAUUCCAUGUGUAGCGGUGAAAUGCGCAGAGAUAUGGAGGAACACCAGUGGCGAAGGCGACUUUCUGGUCUGUAACUGACGCUGAUGUGCGAAAGCGUGGGGAUCAAACAGGAUUAGAUACCCUGGUAGUCCACGCCGUAAACGAUGAGUGCUAAGUGUUAGGGGGUUUCCGCCCCUUAGUGCUGCAGCUAACGCAUUAAGCACUCCGCCUGGGGAGUACGACCGCAAGGUUGAAACUCAAAGGAAUUGACGGGGACCCGCACAAGCGGUGGAGCAUGUGGUUUAAUUCGAAGCAACGCGAAGAACCUUACCAAAUCUUGACAUCCUUUGACAACUCUAGAGAUAGAGCCUUCCCCUUCGGGGGACAAAGUGACAGGUGGUGCAUGGUUGUCGUCAGCUCGUGUCGUGAGAUGUUGGGUUAAGUCCCGCAACGAGCGCAACCCUUAAGCUUAGUUGCCAUCAUUAAGUUGGGCACUCUAAGUUGACUGCCGGUGACAAACCGGAGGAAGGUGGGGAUGACGUCAAAUCAUCAUGCCCCUUAUGUUUUGGGCUACACACGUGCUACAAUGGACAAUACAAAGGGCAGCGAAACCGCGAGGUCAAGCAAAUCCCAUAAAGUUGUUCUCAGUUCGGAUUGUAGUCUGCAACUCGACUACAUGAAGCUGGAAUCGCUAGUAAUCGUAGAUCAGCAUGCUACGGUGAAUACGUUCCCGGGUCU
This 1372-nucleotide ribosomal RNA is filed under the name uncultured bacterium. RNAcentral describes it as "bacterial SSU rRNA". It matches the Rfam family "Bacterial small subunit ribosomal RNA", at positions 28 to 1381 of the family's 1533-position model. The record is from RNAcentral.